UACGAAGGGGGCUAGCGUUGCUCGGAAUUACUGGGCGUAAAGCGCACGUAGGCGGCUUUCUAAGUCGGGGGUGAAAUCCUGGAGCUCAACUCCAGAACUGCCUUCGAUACUGGAGAGCUCGAGUCCGGGAGAGGUGAGUGGAACUGCGAGUGUAGAGGUGAAAUUCGUAGAUAUUAGGAAGAACACCAGUGGCGAAGGCGGCUCACUGGCCCGAUACUGACGCUGAGGCACGAAAGCGUGGGGAGCAAACAGG
Molecule: ribosomal RNA, 253 nt
Filed under: uncultured bacterium
Lineage: Bacteria
Description: partial 16S ribosomal RNA
Rfam family: Bacterial small subunit ribosomal RNA
Source: RNAcentral